This is a non-coding RNA of Phoenix dactylifera (date palm), 165 nucleotides long. The record is from RefSeq and is a predicted model, not a curated record. NCBI's taxonomy places the organism in Eukaryota, Viridiplantae, Streptophyta, Magnoliopsida, Arecales, Arecaceae.
AGGCAUUGAUCAGGGGACUUCCUAUCAUCCUCAAUGACUUCAUACCUGGACAGGAGGUUGGCAAUAUCCCAUAUGUAGUAGACAAUGGAGCUGGAGCUGGACUCUUGGCGCUUCCGUGAUUGCAGGAUGGUGGUAAUCUAUCUUAACUGAUGUUCUUGAUUGUUU